RNAcentral lists this long non-coding RNA (1041 nucleotides) under Felis catus (domestic cat). RNAcentral describes it as "lncRNA (ENSFCAG00000051998.1)". The record is from RNAcentral. Lineage: Eukaryota; Metazoa; Chordata; Mammalia; Carnivora; Felidae.
GGCAUAAUGACAGUAGGAUGUGAAACACAAAUCUUGAUUCCAAACCUACAUGCAGUAGUCACUGACCCUAACUUCCAUCGAGAAUCCUCAGACGGCAGCAUGAAGACAUUGUGAACGUUUUGCUCGUAACUGACAUCGGAGAAUCACUUACAAAAGGUUCAGAUACUCAUCACGCGUCUCGUCCUGACACACACAUAAGACGAAAUCUAUAAGGACGACCAGGACUGCCUGGCCCAUGAUGCAUCACGUAGUCAUGCCCUUGAUACAUACUUAUUGACCUCCUAGCAAGGGGCACCUGCCACCCUGCCUGUCUCACUGGCCACAUGAUGAAGAGCCACAGCGACGGGGUUCCGUCUUCAAGGAGCUUGCCGUCUGGUUGGGAGAAAAAGGUCACGACAGUACAGCUGGGCAAGGGACUGGAACCCAAGCAAAGGGAAAAGAUCUUGGCAAAGGACCUGAUGUUUACAGAGCGUCUACUGUGGGCCAGCCGUUAGAAAACGUAUCCCUCACCCAACCCUUUGAGGUAGGUAUUUUUGUCCUUAGAGACAGAGCCUCUACUCCUUCAGGAACCCAUCCACAGCUCCACAAGCUGAAGCUGGGACUCAGCCCGAUCUCGCUACUCCAUAGAUUCAGUUCUUUACGGCUUUUCCUCCCCCAUGGGAGAGUAUUUCUAUGGUGCUUAGAGAUGUCUUGUGUCUCCUUAUAUAGCCAAGCUCCAAGACUUCUCUUUUAUCAGCUGGUGCCAAACACCUCCCUCAAAUUCUAGAAUUCUCACCAAUUCUCCGAAAAAUUAAUUAACAGCAUCUUUAUAACCUAGUAAAGAGAAUAUAUAAAUAUGCGUGUGUGUAUGUACCUAUAUAUACACAUAUAUACACAUGUAUGUAUAUGUGUGUGUGUCAAUAUUUUUUUCUUUGAAGAUAGUCAGUAAACCCUCUAAGAAACUUGGGGACAGAGACAGGCUUGCACGUCUCUGUAGCCUUCUCAAGUCCCAGCACGUGCCUUGAAAGGAUAGACAUUCAAUAAAUACUUCUCAAAUGAACA